This 684-nucleotide ribosomal RNA is filed under the name Streptomyces sp. Its description in RNAcentral is "bacterial SSU rRNA". It matches the Rfam family "Bacterial small subunit ribosomal RNA", at positions 60 to 760 of the family's 1533-position model. Lineage: Bacteria; Bacillati; Actinomycetota; Actinomycetes; Kitasatosporales; Streptomycetaceae. The record is from RNAcentral.
AGUCGACGAUGAACCUCCUUCGGGAGGGGAUUAGUGGCGAACGGGUGAGUAACACGUGGGCAAUCUGCCCUGCACUCUGGGACAAGCCCUGGAAACGGGGUCUAAUACCGGAUACGAGUUUCACCGGCAUCGGUGAUUCUGGAAAGCUCCGGCGGUGCAGGAUGAGCCCGCGGCCUAUCAGCUUGUUGGUGAGGUAACGGCUCACCAAGGCGACGACGGGUAGCCGGCCUGAGAGGGCGACCGGCCACACUGGGACUGAGACACGGCCCAGACUCCUACGGGAGGCAGCAGUGGGGAAUAUUGCACAAUGGGCGAAAGCCUGAUGCAGCGACGCCGCGUGAGGGAUGACGGCCUUCGGGUUGUAAACCUCUUUCAGCAGGGAAGAAGCGAGAGUGACGGUACCUGCAGAAGAAGCGCCGGCUAACUACGUGCCAGCAGCCGCGGUAAUACGUAGGGCGCAAGCGUUGUCCGGAAUUAUUGGGCGUAAAGAGCUCGUAGGCGGCUUGUCACGUCGGUUGUGAAAGCCCGGGGCUUAACCCCGGGUCUGCAGUCGAUACGGGCAGGCUAGAGUUCGGUAGGGGAGAUCGGAAUUCCUGGUGUAGCGGUGAAAUGCGCAGAUAUCAGGAGGAACACCGGUGGCGAAGGCGGAUCUCUGGGCCGAUACUGACGCUGAGGAGCGAAAGC